RNAcentral lists this long non-coding RNA (2614 nucleotides) under Olea europaea subsp. europaea. Lineage: Eukaryota; Viridiplantae; Streptophyta; Magnoliopsida; Lamiales; Oleaceae. The record is from RNAcentral.
UCCACCAGCAGCUAAACGUGGCAAUGUUAGUGGCAGGUUAUUAGUCAAAGACAGGUAACUGCAUUUCUAGGUUGAUUUUCAUUCGGAUUUUGAAUAGAUCAAUUAAUAUCAUUGGGACGCUAUUUCUAGUCUGAACUUUUUGAAGGGAUUGUAAAUCUUAUCAAAUUCAGGUAUAUUAGUCAUAAUUAUAUUCCAGCAAGAGGUGCAUAUGUAGGCUUGGCUCCACCGGGAGUUGGAUCUUGGCAAAGAGAAUGCAAGGUGAUUUUUUCAUGAAUACCAUAUCCUGUGGAUUAUUUAUUAUAAAAUACAAACGUACGAGGGGACGUUCCUCUAGCUAAUGAAGGCACAAUCUCAUGUACCCUUUUCAUGCUUUGCUUAAUCAUCCGUCUUAUCACAAACUUCGUAGGCUCCUCAUAAUUGUCCUCCUUGGAGUACGUCAAUAUAGGUCUAAAACCAAUUUCGGGAUUCUCCAUCUCUCGAUGCAUAUAUGCAAAUGAGUGAAAGUUGUACAUGUCGGGAAUUUACUUAAUCAUGCACAAAGGAUAAUAAAACAAAUUUCAAUUCCCACCAAAAAUCUGCUCUGUGUUUAAAUAACAAUUAUACCUUUCUUGAAAUCUGCAAACUGAUUUGCGUUUCUUUUGUUUUAACAAUCUUGAUCUGCCAUCCACAACUGUUUAAUUGUCCAGCUUCCAAUGAAAUUUCACACAGGAAACAAGAUUAAGUGAGAACCAAGUUUACUUUUUUGAUCUGCCAUCUACAGCUGUUUAAUUGUACAAAUUUUUGAACCCCAUUUAAUUCAUUUCCUCCUGUAUACGGUCUUUUAGAAUAUUUAUAAUAAUUGUGGGAAUAUUCAUGAUCCAGAAAAUACUUCAUGUACAAACUCCUCCAUAGAAAUCUAAGUUUGACAAUACGGUUCCUAAAAUGAUAGAUAAGCCAAUUUUUCGUUUCAAUGUAUCUUAAGUUGCAAAUGAGAGCAAUAAGAGAUUUAAGAGGACUAGAGGAGCAUUGCUUAGUUUUUGGUAUGACAUUUAACAAAUGCCCACCAUUUCAAAAACUGUAUAAUAAGUUUUGUUUUGCUACAGGACUAUCAAUUCUGGACAAGAGCAGAUGAAGAAGGCUAUUUUUCCAUUAAAAACAUCCUUACCGGGGACUAUAGUCUCCAUGCAUGGGUACCGGGAUUCAUAGGAGAUUACUUAAAUAAAAAUUCUAUUACCAUAACAUCAGGUUGCUUCAUUAAUAUUGGCAACCUUGUCUACAAGCCCCCAAGAAAUGGACCAACCUUGUGGGAAAUCGGCAUCCCUGACCGUUCUGCUAGAGAAUUUUACAUCCCCGAUCCCAACCCUAAAUAUAUCAACAAACUUUAUAUCAAUCAUGACAGGUUAGUAUUCCUUGUAACAUUUUAUUUAUGUAGCCGAUCCCAAAGUUAUUGACAAUAAGGUUUAAUUUGUUAUGUUUUUAUCUGUUCUCAAUUUCUAAGACACAGUAAAUUUACUUGCGGAUGUGUAUCCUAUCCUCAGGUUUAGACAGUAUGGAUUAUGGGAAAGAUACACAGAGUUGUAUCCUAACGGUGAUUUGGUCUACACAGUUGGUCAGAGCGAUUACACGAAAGAUUGGUUUUUUGCACAAGUUACCAGGUUAACGUAAUUUCUAAUCAUCUUAAAUUUACUCAGUUUCAAUACGUAUCUGUAUUGGAAUAUAAUCAUGUUUUGGGAAAAUUCUAACUAUCGAUGUGGAUUAAAAUCAGAAUUUUGGUAGACUUUGAUAAAACCUGACGAAAUUUAUGAUUGAAAAAUUAUGUGUCCUAUAAGAUAUAUAAUAAAAUUAAUUAUUGACUUUGACUUAGAUUUUAUUCCACACCAAACAUGGGUGGAGAGAACUUUGCCCACAUAGCUGAUAUUUCGAAAAGCAGAAAUAACUUGAAACUCCUAAGCCUAUGGCUUCCUUUUUCCUUGUUAUUUCUCUUCAAUAAGACUGCAUCUGUAGGGAAUAAUGGUCUGCUACUUGAGAUCUCUGUUUCUCUCGUCCGUAGCAAGAAAACUUAACCAUGCUGAUAAGGCAUUAAUUUUGCAAGAUUUCAUGUCUCUCAGAAAAAAAGAUGAGAAAACAUACCAAGGCACUACAUGGCAGAUUAAGUUUAAUCUAGACAUGGUCAACCCACGUGGAACAUAUAACUUGAGAUUGGCUCUUGCAUCUGCAACUCAAGCCAAAUUAGAGGUCAGCACGUGCAUUUUUCAUCUUAUCGCCGAAUUACAUCAUAUAUUGAGAAUGAUGAAUAAUGCUAUUUAUGAACAUUUGUAGGUUCGAGUGAACAUUUCAGACCAUAAUCCACCACUAUUUUCGAGCGGCAUAAUAGGAAAUGAUAACGCAAUAGCGAGAUACGGGAUUCAUGGUCUCUAUUGGCUCUUUAAUGUGGACAUAAGAGGUACUCUACUCGUUCGAGGGAACAACGCAAUUUAUUUGACACAAGCAAAUGCCACAAGCCCUUUCCAAGGGAUCAUGUAUGAUUAUAUUCGUUUAGAAGGCCCACAGCGUUGAUUUGUCUCUAAAUUGAGGGAAGAUUCAAACUUUAUUUAUACUUCAGAAUUAAUGUCACCUUCUUAAUAAUGAAAUUUUU